AAAGAAUUAGUUAAAGUAUAAUCUAGGUUUGUCAAGCCUGAGUUGCCUGUGUGGUAUUCUUUU
RNAcentral lists this transfer RNA (63 nucleotides) under Pyganodon grandis (giant floater mussel). RNAcentral's name for it is "tRNA-Asp". Lineage: Eukaryota; Metazoa; Mollusca; Bivalvia; Unionida; Unionidae. The record is from RNAcentral.